Molecule: transfer RNA, 64 nt
Filed under: Cavia porcellus (domestic guinea pig)
Lineage: Eukaryota; Metazoa; Chordata; Mammalia; Rodentia; Caviidae
Rfam family: tRNA
About the family: Transfer RNA (tRNA) molecules are approximately 80 nucleotides in length. Their secondary structure includes four short double-helical elements and three loops (D, anti-codon, and T loops).
Source: Rfam by way of RNAcentral
GGGGAUUUAGCUCAGUGGUACAAGUGCCUGCCUGGCAAGCGGGAGGUUGUGAGUUCAAUCCCUG